UAAUAAGCAAUGAAUGGAACUAAAGUAGUGAAGUUUUCCCUGUAACAGAGAGCUGAUGGUUGGUGCAAAUCAGUACAUAAAACGUCAUGAAUUACAAUCCACGAGCUUCUUCUUCGAAACAAAUUGUGAGGGGAAGACGGUGAAGAGCCGUUAUGAAAUGAAGAUAUUAGUAAGUUUUAGUAAAACAGCUAAUAACUAGGGUGGUACCGCGAAUUUAAAGUUCGUCCCUACU
RNAcentral lists this non-coding RNA (232 nucleotides) under Bacillus sp. (in: firmicutes). Its description in RNAcentral is "Bacillus sp. T-box sequence". It matches the Rfam family "T-box leader". From Rfam's summary of the family: Uncharged tRNA acts as the effector for transcription antitermination of genes in the T-box leader family. T-boxes are found upstream of many aminoacyl-tRNA synthetase genes and some amino acid biosynthetic genes usually in Gram-positive bacteria. Lineage: Bacteria; Bacillati; Bacillota; Bacilli; Caryophanales; Bacillaceae. The record is from RNAcentral.